RNAcentral lists this ribosomal RNA (253 nucleotides) under uncultured bacterium. RNAcentral's name for it is "partial 16S ribosomal RNA". It matches the Rfam family "Bacterial small subunit ribosomal RNA", at positions 524 to 776 of the family's 1533-position model. The record is from RNAcentral.
UACGUAGGGAGCAAGCGUUGUCCGGAAUCAUUGGGCGUAAAGCGCACGUAGGCGGCCCGGUAAGUCCGCUGUAAAAGUCCAGGGCUCAACCCUGGAAAGCCGGUGGAUACUGUCGGGCUCGAGUCCGGAAGAGGCGAGUGGAAUUCCUGGUGUAGCGGUGGAAUGCGCAGAUAUCGGGAGGAACACCGAUGGCGAAGGCAGCUCGCUGGGACGGUACUGACGCUGAGGCGCGAAAGCGUGGGGAGCGAACAGG